RNA transcript from Diospyros lotus (date-plum), 2591 nucleotides. It is a transcript of the gene named GTP-binding protein BRASSINAZOLE INSENSITIVE PALE GREEN 2, chloroplastic, with no coding region annotated. Lineage: Eukaryota; Viridiplantae; Streptophyta; Magnoliopsida; Ericales; Ebenaceae. The transcript has 4 exons. The record is from RefSeq and is a predicted model, not a curated record.
GUAAGCCAAACAGCCUCUAAAUGAUUUUGUUACCGGGGAAGAAGAAGAGAGAAGAAAAUGAUAGUCCGACUUCGAGGUCUCUCAUUUUCGUCGCCGCCGGCGAAGCUCAAACACUUCCUUCCCUUCUCUCACUUUGCAUGUAAUAAUACAAAACCUUCUAUUCCGAUUUCAUUCGUCGUUGAACCCCAAAACCCUACUAAAACCCUAAAACCCUCACGCCUGUUCCUCGGCUUCAGGCCCUUUUCUUCUCAUUCCAAACCCACCCAAAUCCCAACUCUACUCCUCAACAGGGACGGAAAUUACCAUGAAUCCGACUCCCAGACGCAGAAUGAUCACAACUCCAUCAUUUGCCAUGGGUGUGGUGUUCCCAUGCAGGGCUCCGACCCGAAAUUGCCUGGAUUUUUCCUCAAACCAACCCCCAAAAACCCCGAUUAUAGGUAUUCGAUUCAUCGGAUUCCAGUUGCCGACGAGGCGGAGAUAUCGUAUUCUCUGAAAAGAGGCAUUAUCAGAGAGCAGGAAAAUGAAGAAAGCCCCGAAAAGGCCAGCCCUAAUUUGCCCCAGAAGCUGGCGGUUUGCGCGAGGUGCCACUCGCUGAGGCAUUACGGUAAGGUGAAGGACCCGACGGUGGAGAACUUGUUGCCGGAUUUCGAUUUCGAUCACACGGUUGGGCGGAAGUUGAAUUCGAUUACGGGGGCGAGGACGGUGGUUAUGAUGGUGGUGGACGCGGCCGACUUUGACGGCUCCUUCCCGAGGAAGGUGGCACAGUUGGUUUCGGCCACCAUCGACGAGCAUUCGGCGGCCUGGAAGGAGGGGAAAUCCGGGAACGUGCCGCGGGUGGUGCUGGUGGUGACGAAGAUUGAUUUGUUACCGGCGUCGUUGUCACCGACGAGAUUUGAGCAUUGGGUUCGGACGAGGGCCAGAGAGGGAGGAGCUAACAAGAUAACGAGUGUGCAUUUAGUGAGUGCAUUGAGGAAUUGGGGGCUGAAGAAUCUGUUUGAUGAUGUAGUGGGAUUGGCUGGGACGAGGGGGCAUGUGUGGGCGGUGGGGGCACAGAACGCCGGCAAGUCGACGUUGAUCAAUUCGAUGGGGAAGCAUGUUGGUGGGAAAGUUACGCAUUUGACAGAGGCACCGGUCCCUGGGACUACAUUGGGGAUUGUUAGGGUUGAGGGAGUGUUGCCGGGUCAGGUGAAGUUAUUCGAUACACCGGGACUUUUGCAUCCUCAUCAGAUCUCUACUAGGUUAACCAGGGAAGAGCAGAAACUUGUGCACAUGAGUAAGGAGUUGAAACCCAGGACCUAUAGAAUCAAGGCAGGACAUUCAGUUCAUAUUGGUGGACUCCUGAGGUUAGAUAUAGACGAGUCAUCAGUUGAUUCUGUUUAUAUUACAGUGUGGGCAUCACCUUAUCUUCCACUUCACAUGGGGAAAACUGAAAAUGUGCACAACAUGCUGGAAGAUCAUUUUGGUCAUCAAUUACAGCCACCAAUUGGCGAGAAACGCAUUAAGGAGCUUGGGGUAUGGGCAAGAAAAGAAUUUCGUGUUUGUGGCUACAGUUGGGAUUCAAGUUAUGUGGACAUUGUUGCUGCAGGUCUUGGUUGGUUUGCUAUUGCACUUAAAGGAGAAGCUCUUUUUGGUGUUUGGACAUAUGAUGGAGUUGAUGUUGUUUUACGCAAUUCCUUGAUUCCCCAUAGAGCAACUAAUUUUGAAGUUGCAGGGUUUACGGUCUCAAAAAUUGUCUCCAAGGCUGAUCAAGCGUCAAAUAAGUUGACCCGCCAAAGUGGAAAAAAGCAGAAGCAGGGUGAUCUGAAAACAGAGAUCUCUGCUGCAUGAUCAUCUUGAACAAUGGAUAAUGAUUCAAACUGAAUGCGAUGAAAGUCUCACUGAGAGAUACCAUAUCGGGGGUAUGAAUGGAGUUCUGAUACUCCAUUGAAGCUGGAAAGAUGAUUAGUUGUCCUCGUUCAGAAGUAUUCCCAAGCAGGGAGUACCCACAAAAAUUCCAUAACCAACUGAAGCUCAUGCUGAUUACAUCGUCAAACACAGGUGACAGUGUUGUCUUUUGCUGUUCUGGAAGUUCCUUUGCUCCUCAUCGGGCCAGUUCUCCAUUUGAUCAAGGUGAUUCUGGCUCUAUUUGGGAGUGAAAUGUGCCGUCUUUGGGUAGGUGCUUUCUUCUCAUCUUGAUUUUGCUAUCAUGGGAGAAGAGUCAUUUAAGUGUUGUGUGAUAGAAAUUUUGCUGCUAAUGCUCGCGAAGAGUUCUACAUAAAUUGUGUGAUUCACCCAACAAGAACGUGUCUGGAAAACUGGCACCCUUAAAAUUUCAGGUUGUAAUAUGAGGAAUCAUGGGCAGUGUCUCUAACGGAAAUAGCCACUUUUGAACUUUGGAUGCUUCUGGGUCUUGGGUAUUAAUGAAACACAAUGCUCCCGUGCUUGCUGCUUUAGUUCUCCUUUUCAAUUAAAACUUUAGGGUAUUAGUUGCUUUUUUUUCCCCAAACGUGGGGAUAAUUUUUGCUAUUAUCCCUUAACUUUGUGAUUAAAAAGCAUUCCUUGUGUUAUCAAUGGAAUGGAUCCACAUAGUAUGGAUACAUUAUUGUGAUUAA